This 59-nucleotide transfer RNA is filed under the name Pseudomonas aeruginosa. RNAcentral describes it as "tRNA-Asp". It matches the Rfam family "tRNA", at positions 9 to 63 of the family's 71-position model. Rfam says of the family: Transfer RNA (tRNA) molecules are approximately 80 nucleotides in length. Their secondary structure includes four short double-helical elements and three loops (D, anti-codon, and T loops). The record is from RNAcentral. Lineage: Bacteria; Pseudomonadati; Pseudomonadota; Gammaproteobacteria; Pseudomonadales; Pseudomonadaceae. RNAcentral also lists the same sequence under 9 other names.
AGUUCAGUCGGUUAGAAUACCGGCCUGUCACGCCGGGGGUCGCGGGUUCGAGUCCCGUC